Molecule: ribosomal RNA, 263 nt
Filed under: uncultured bacterium
Lineage: Bacteria
Description: partial 16S ribosomal RNA
Rfam family: Bacterial small subunit ribosomal RNA
Source: RNAcentral
GUCCACGCCCUAAACGAUGUCAACUAGUUGUUAGGGAAGCAAUUCCUUGGUAACGAAGCUAACGCGUGAAGUUGACCGCCUGGGGAGUACGGCCGCAAGGUUAAAACUCAAAGGAAUUGACGGGGACCCGCACAAGCGGUGGAUUAUGUGGAUUAAUUCGAUGCAACGCGAAAACCUUACCUACCCUUGACAUGUACGGAACCUCGCAGAGAUGUGAGGGUGCCCGAAAGGGAACCGUAACACAGGUGCUGCAUGGCUGUCGU